This 329-nucleotide ribosomal RNA is filed under the name uncultured eukaryote. RNAcentral describes it as "partial 18S ribosomal RNA". It matches the Rfam family "Eukaryotic small subunit ribosomal RNA", at positions 1470 to 1796 of the family's 1831-position model. The record is from RNAcentral.
CCCUUAGAUGUCCUGGGCCGCACGCGCGCUACACUGAGUGUCUGAGAUACGAGUCUGCCUGGUCCGGCAAGGUCUAGGUAAUCGCUAAAGGACACAUCAUGCUUGGGAUAGAUUAUUGCAAAUAUUAAUCUUGAACGAGGAAUUCCUAGUAAGCGCAAGUCAACAGCUUGCGUUGAUUACGUCCCUGCCCUUUGUACACACCGCCCGUCGCACCUACCGAUUGGAUGGUCCGGUGAAGCCUCGGGAUUGUGGUUCUUGCCGCUUUAUUGUGGCGUGACCGCGAGAACUUGUCUAAACCUUAUCAUCUAGAGGAAGGUGAAGUCGUAACA